Molecule: long non-coding RNA, 339 nt
Filed under: Homo sapiens (human)
Lineage: Eukaryota; Metazoa; Chordata; Mammalia; Primates; Hominidae
Description: HSALNT0381042
Source: RNAcentral
CUCAGCCUCCAAAAGUGUUAGGAUUACAGGCGUGAGCUAUCGUGCCCAGCCGCAGAUGGGUUGUAGUUUUAAACAGGGUAGUCACGGUGACCUCAUUGAAAAGUUCAAGAGGAGCUAGUCAACAAAGGGAAAGUUUGGACUUAUCAGAAGUGUCUGAAGUAGAGUCUAAUUAUGGUGCCACUGAAGAGGAUUUAAUAACAUCUGCAUCAAAAACAGAAGAGACCUUGUCAAAAAAGAGAGUACCAGUCUUCCUCCUGUGUCUCAUCCACAUCCUCUUCCUAUUCUUCCUCUUCUGAAUCCAGAUUUUCUGAAUCUAUUGGUGAGCCGAAGAACUAUAAU